GCCACAUAAGCUAAUAGAGUUCCACUCAUGCCAUGUAGACUAAUAAACUUUCCCCUCCUAGUUUGCCCCAAUUUUCUCCAUUUUCCUUAGAAUUUCACUGAAGAACAUAGAACCCCUCUUCCUCAUUUCUCCAUUUCCUUAGAAACGAUUUUGCCGCUAAGGUUUCAAAGUACAUAACUUCUUGAUUCUCUUUCUUAAUUCUAACCCCUCCUAAGCGUCUUUCUUAAUUCU
Molecule: unclassified non-coding RNA, 231 nt
Filed under: Hevea brasiliensis (rubber tree)
Lineage: Eukaryota; Viridiplantae; Streptophyta; Magnoliopsida; Malpighiales; Euphorbiaceae
Source: RNAcentral